CGGUAGGGGGCAAGCGUUAUCCGGAUUUACUGGGUGUAAAGGGAGCGUAGGUGGUUCGGCAAGUCAGAUGUGAAAGCCCGGGGCUCAACCCCGGGACUGCAUUUGAAACUGCCUUACUAGAGUGCAGGAGAGGUAAGUGGAAUUCCUAGUGUAGCGGUGAAAUGCGUAGAUAUUAGGAGGAACACCAGUGGCGAAGGCGGCUUACUGGACUGUAACUGACACUGAGGCUCGAAAGCGUGGGGGAGCAAACAGGAUUAGAUACCCUGGUAGUCCACGCCGUAAACGACGAAUACUAGGUGUCGGGGCCCUUCCGGGCUCCGGUGCCGCAGCUAACGCAAUAAGUAUUCCACCUGGGGAGUACGUUCGCAAGAAUG
Molecule: ribosomal RNA, 374 nt
Filed under: uncultured organism
Description: bacterial SSU rRNA
Rfam family: Bacterial small subunit ribosomal RNA
Source: RNAcentral